UUGAAUUUUGGGAAAAGAGAAAAAAGAAAAACAAUGAAUAAACAGAGAGAAGAGAGAGGAGAAUGAGAGAUCGUGAAAAUAUUUCCCUUUUUUCCCCAUCCCCCUAAUAAAAAUAAAAAAAUAAAUAAAAUAAGUAUUUUAAACCUAAAACAAAAAUAAACCAAAAUUAUUUCCCCUAUCACACGCAUGAGGACUCAAACCUAGAACCCCAAGGAAAACUAACUCACAACCAAUCACCA
Molecule: long non-coding RNA, 239 nt
Filed under: Gossypium raimondii (Peruvian cotton)
Lineage: Eukaryota; Viridiplantae; Streptophyta; Magnoliopsida; Malvales; Malvaceae
Description: long non-coding RNA (GRAI_LNC010539)
Source: RNAcentral